GUGUCAGCCGCCGCGGUAAUACGGAGGGGGCGAGCGUUGUUCGGAAUCACUGGGUGUAAAGGGUGCGUAGGCGGUCCGUUAAGUCUGAUGUGAAAGCCCUGGGCUCAACUCAGGAAUGGCAUUGGAAACUGGCGGGCUAGAAUACCGGAGAGGGAAGCGGAAUUCCUGGUGUAGCGGUGAAAUGCGUAGAUACCAGGAGGAACACCGGUGGCGAAGGCGGCUUCCUGGACGAGUAUUGACGCUGAGGCACGAAAGCGUGGGGAGCAAACGGGAUUAGAAACCCGAGUAGUCC
RNAcentral lists this ribosomal RNA (292 nucleotides) under uncultured bacterium. RNAcentral describes it as "partial 16S ribosomal RNA". It matches the Rfam family "Bacterial small subunit ribosomal RNA", at positions 505 to 796 of the family's 1533-position model. The record is from RNAcentral.